This 72-nucleotide transfer RNA is filed under the name Heterocephalus glaber (naked mole-rat). It matches the Rfam family "tRNA". From Rfam's summary of the family: Transfer RNA (tRNA) molecules are approximately 80 nucleotides in length. Their secondary structure includes four short double-helical elements and three loops (D, anti-codon, and T loops). Lineage: Eukaryota; Metazoa; Chordata; Mammalia; Rodentia; Bathyergidae. The record is from Rfam by way of RNAcentral.
GGGGGUGUAGUUCAGUGGCAGAGCACGUGGUUAGCAUGCACAAGGUCCUGGGUUUGAUUCCCAGCACCACAG